GGCUCGUUGGUCAAGGGGUCAAGACGCCGCCCUCUCACGGCGGAAUCAGGGGUUCGAGUCCCCUACGAGCUG
Molecule: transfer RNA, 72 nt
Filed under: Bacillota bacterium
Lineage: Bacteria; Bacillati; Bacillota
Also listed under: 1 other name
Description: tRNA-Glu
Rfam family: tRNA
About the family: Transfer RNA (tRNA) molecules are approximately 80 nucleotides in length. Their secondary structure includes four short double-helical elements and three loops (D, anti-codon, and T loops). Further hydrogen bonds mediate the characteristic L-shaped molecular structure. tRNAs have two regions of fundamental functional importance: the anti-codon, which is responsible for specific mRNA codon recognition, and the 3' end, to which the tRNAs corresponding amino acid is attached (by aminoacyl-tRNA synthetases). tRNAs cope with the degeneracy of the genetic code in two manners: having more than one tRNA (with a specific anti-codon) for a particular amino acid; and 'wobble' base-pairing, i.e. permitting non-standard base-pairing at the 3rd anti-codon position.
Source: RNAcentral